AGGGUUUGAUCAUGGCUCAGAUUGAACGCUGGCGGAAUGCUUUACACAUGCAAGUCGAACGGCAGCACGGAGAGCUUGCUCUCUGGUGGCGAGUGGCGAACGGGUGAGUAAUAUAUCGGAACGUGUCCAAUAAUGGGGGAUAACGAGUCGAAAGAUUCGCUAAUACCGCAUACGCCCUACGGGGGAAAGCAGGGGAUCGUAAGACCUUGCGUUAAUGGAGCGGCCGAUAUCUGAUUAGCUUGUUGGUGAGGUAAAGGCUCACCAAGGCGACGAUCAGUAGCUGGUUUGAGAGAACGACCAGCCACACUGGAACUGAGACACGGUCCAGACUCCUACGGGAGGCAGCAGUGGGGAAUUUUGGACAAUGGGGGCAACCCUGAUCCAGCCAUUCCGCGUGAGUGAAGAAGGCCUUCGGGUUGUAAAGCUCUUUCGCAAGGGAAGAAAACUUAUGAUCGAAUAAAUCAUGAGGUUGACGGUACCUUGAUAAGAAGCACCGGCUAACUACGUGCCAGCAGCCGCGGUAAUAC
Molecule: ribosomal RNA, 527 nt
Filed under: uncultured Methylophilus sp.
Lineage: Bacteria; Pseudomonadati; Pseudomonadota; Betaproteobacteria; Nitrosomonadales; Methylophilaceae
Description: bacterial SSU rRNA
Rfam family: Bacterial small subunit ribosomal RNA
Source: RNAcentral